CCCUUCCAAGUUCUCAUAGUGCGUGGCUGGGAUGGGGGCGGCGCUCACGGUGAGGAAGCCCCGAGCUCCCGGGACGCAGACAGGGUGUGCAGGGCCGUAGCUCGGGCCUGUGUAUGCACGUGUGCGUGUGUGUUUGACGCCAGGACAAGGCGGCGGUGUGCGCGGCGAGGAGGCUGCGACAGCUGUAUAGACCCCAGCUGCAGUGAAAUGGCCAUCAAAAAGGGAAGGGAUAAUCUAGUGGUGGAAUAAAAUCUGCAAACAGAAAAAGCAGAGACCUGUUUUCGGAACGAGGCUUUUCGAGUUGUAAGUGUCCCUUAGGCAGAGUUCUGGGAAGACGUCUGGGGAGAACCUAGGAGUAGGAUUCCUUCCUCAGAGGCUCUCCCUUGGGAACUCUCAGAGGUCAGGUUCCAUGUGAUCCACAUCAUUCCCAGAGCUGUCUCCGCAGGAGACUUACGUGAAUUUAGAGAAAGUCCCCAGUCCUGGAUAUCAGUGACCCUGGCCUUUCCCUUGAAUACUAAGAAGGGUUAGCAGUACUCCCAUCUCCCUUUUACUUCCAUCUGAGUAUGUUUAUGGUAGAUGAUGAGAGCUCGUGUGGUGGCAAUAAUUUUUUCCAAUUUAGCCAAUCUGGGUUCCAAGAAAGGUCUGAUGUCUCAUGAUUCCUUACCCCUUCUCCCUUGCCUUGAGGUUCUCUAAGAGCCCCGAGGAAAGGGAACCGUUGCUGAGCAUAUCUGAAAACCAAGGUCAAGGAAGUUUUGUUGUAUUUUCUAUUUUUGUUCUCUUUGAUUUUGUUUUUCAGCAAGGGAGUAUUUUUUCUCCUCCUGAAAUGCUAGUCAGUGGUUAGGUUACUAUUAGGCAGGGCCUUGUGAGGUGCUUUGACCAAUAGAAUGUGGUGGAAGUGAUAUUGUGAGACUUCUGAGACAAAGCUUCAGGAAGUCUUGCAGCUUUUUCUCUUCCCCUUUUCCUGCCCUGAGACCACCAUGACUGAAGGCUAAGAGCAACUUGCUUGCGGAUUAAAGAUCACUUGGAGAGAGAGGUCCAGUGAGCAACAACGGCCAGAAAUUUCAGGGAGACCAUCUUGAACCAUCCAGCCUCCACCAAGCCAACAGCUGACAGCUGUCACAUGAAUAUGAUCAGCAGAAGAACCACUCAGGCAAGCCAAGCCCAAAUUGCCAAGCCCCCCAAAUAAUGAGCUAAUUAUUUUUUGUUUUAAGCCAUAAACUUUUGAGGUGGUUAUAUAGCAAUAAAUAACUGAAAAGGU
Molecule: long non-coding RNA, 1258 nt
Organism: Gorilla gorilla gorilla (western lowland gorilla)
Lineage: Eukaryota; Metazoa; Chordata; Mammalia; Primates; Hominidae
Exons: 2
Source: RefSeq, a predicted model, not a curated record